Molecule: ribosomal RNA, 69 nt
Filed under: Streptococcus dysgalactiae subsp. equisimilis
Lineage: Bacteria; Bacillati; Bacillota; Bacilli; Lactobacillales; Streptococcaceae
Description: partial 16S ribosomal RNA
Rfam family: Bacterial small subunit ribosomal RNA
Source: RNAcentral
AUCUUAAUGAGAGUUUGAUCCUGGCUCAGGACGAACGCUGGCGGCGUGCCUAAUACAUGCAAGUAGAAC